UUAGCCGCUGUUGCCAUGCGGUACCUGCCUUCUAAGCAGGUGGUCGCAGGUUCGAAUCCUGCAGGGGUCGCCA
Molecule: transfer RNA, 73 nt
Filed under: Rhizobium mongolense
Lineage: Bacteria; Pseudomonadati; Pseudomonadota; Alphaproteobacteria; Hyphomicrobiales; Rhizobiaceae
Description: tRNA-Arg
Rfam family: tRNA
About the family: Transfer RNA (tRNA) molecules are approximately 80 nucleotides in length. Their secondary structure includes four short double-helical elements and three loops (D, anti-codon, and T loops). Further hydrogen bonds mediate the characteristic L-shaped molecular structure. tRNAs have two regions of fundamental functional importance: the anti-codon, which is responsible for specific mRNA codon recognition, and the 3' end, to which the tRNAs corresponding amino acid is attached (by aminoacyl-tRNA synthetases). tRNAs cope with the degeneracy of the genetic code in two manners: having more than one tRNA (with a specific anti-codon) for a particular amino acid; and 'wobble' base-pairing, i.e. permitting non-standard base-pairing at the 3rd anti-codon position.
Source: RNAcentral